This is a long non-coding RNA of Cyprinus carpio (common carp), 1145 nucleotides long. NCBI's taxonomy places the organism in Eukaryota, Metazoa, Chordata, Actinopteri, Cypriniformes, Cyprinidae. The record is from Ensembl.
AUGCCUGACAGGUUCACUCUGCUUACUUUCAGCUUUUGUUUCAUACUUCACAAUGUUUGUAGUUGGACCGUGAGUGCACCUCUCAACCACACAUUCAAUGAGGACGACUCUGUCAGUGUCACAUGCAUGUUUAAUGGAGAGGAUCAGUUUCAUUUGGAAGCUAAGUUGAAAAUGAAUGAUGAAUAUGUUUGUGAGGUUUAUAACAAAAGCCAAGUACAGGAUAAACGUAACUGUUUAUGGGAGCGUAAGGACAACAAAUUCACGUUCACCUUAUUGAACCCUGAGGGCUUACACAAAAAUAAUUUUUCCUGUGAGAUGUCCAAAAUUAAACCAUUUCCAGUCACAAUGAAAGUAGGACCAAAAACUAAGCUUUUCCGAGGUUGCAAUAAGUCUUUGGCUCCACUGAAGAACAGCUGUCCAAUCACUAACCAAACAAAUAACCAGGAUCACAGACCUGUAGAAAGUUACACACCUGAAGAAGUGUAUACCCUAUUAAUCUGUGGGCUGAUAAUAGUGGUGGUAAUGCUAUCUGUCUACAGCAUUAUUGUUACGGCAGUCUACAUCAGAUUGAGGGCCAUGAAUCCCGAGUCUUCUGACACACUGACCUAUGUCCCAAUGCAGAGGAAUGUUAACUGGCGUAAUCUAGACAACACCGAAUAUGUGGACAUGCGUGAAGUGCAGAAACGGGGAGGAUCCCAAAGAGAUAUGAACCACAACUCUCAUCAUGCUUUUGCCUGAGCCCAUUUCUAGUGGCAUAAGUGAGCUCAUGCUUUGACUGCUCUGCUGGAUGAAUUUCACUUGGGCCACACUAAAGAAUAACACAGGAUAAAACUAUCGCCUUUCUACCAAACAAAACAGACUUUUCUGAAUGCCUGAAUCUGCAUAUUGCGGCUGCACUGCAUACAUUACACAGUCUUGAUGUUCUCUGUGUCAGAUGGUUUCAUCUGGUGGCUUGUACAACCUAAUGCUGAAUUGUAGCUAUGCCAAGUUAAAUGUAUAUAAAGUAUCUAACUUGGCAUUUUUUAUUUAUCAUUUUGAUCCCAUGGACCAAUAAUCAAUGAUAAUAAGAGUUUUGUUCAGUGCUUCCCCUCCCCCCUCUCCCCCCAAAAAAAAUUAUAAAAGAAAUUCUAACAAUAAAUAUAUAA